Andrographis paniculata is the source of this 517-nucleotide long non-coding RNA. RefSeq lists it as uncharacterized. The transcript has 2 exons. Lineage: Eukaryota; Viridiplantae; Streptophyta; Magnoliopsida; Lamiales; Acanthaceae. The record is from RefSeq and is a predicted model, not a curated record.
CUGGAGAAAGCCUUCAUAUCCUUUCCCCAAAGGCGUGGGGUUGAGUUGCAGCUGCCGGCUCUUCUAUACGAGCCGUAAAACCUUUCAGACGCCGAGCCGACCUCUGAGUCCUCAUAGAUUGAAGAAAGCAAGGAGAACGAAGGAAUAGCAAAAAUGGCGACAAUAACAGCUACAGCAAUUAAGGUAUAGAGCUUAAUCGAUGAGAAACAACAAAUCCAGAAUAGCAAGCGAAUGAAUCGAACGGAACUGAGGCAGAGGUUAGUGUUUUGUUUUACCUGAGAAGUGAGGCUUUUAGCGGAUGGCUUGGUUAGAGCGGCGGAGACGGCGGCGUUGUCUUCGUCUUCCGGCUGCUCUUGGAGAGAUCCGGCGGUGUUGAGUUGCUUCGAACAGGCUAUGCAGGUCAACAUUGCUCGCUGUAAACGGAAAUGGAAUCGAAUCCCCUAAAAAUCAGCUGUGAGGUUCAAAUCCUGGCAAAGAAAAAAAAAAGGCUGAAAUUCGAAGAAAUUGGAGGUGGUAA